RNAcentral lists this unclassified non-coding RNA (2667 nucleotides) under Leishmania donovani. RNAcentral describes it as "gene:LdHU3.36.9640(CDS-product:RNA_editing_comple _protein_MP63)". The record is from RNAcentral. Lineage: Eukaryota; Euglenozoa; Kinetoplastea; Trypanosomatida; Trypanosomatidae.
UUUGGACCUUUGGAUAAAAGUUGUAGAACGACAGAAAUUAACCUGAGGUGCCGCUCUUCCGUGCAUUUUCUUUCUCUGACCUCCCUCCCCGCCGAAGGUGAUGACAAUGAAGAGGCGGAUCGGUGUCUUGGCCGCUGCUGCAGCGAGCCGCUGCACGCUGCGCCGGCUUCCCCAAGUAUCGUCUUGGCCCUUACACGCGUCGGGCGCUGUCGCCUCCGCGAAAGGUGCCUCAAACGCCGCUCUGUUGGGGGCUGUGCGGAAUCAAAGUGCCGUCCCGGACCGGCGCUUCCACUGUAGCGUUUGCAAAAAGUCGUUUCGCUUGGAGAUGGCGGCAAAGCUGCACCUUCAGCAGGUGCACAGUGGUGAGGGCACGGUGGAGGCAGGCGCUGGACCGGGACAGGGAGAGGAUCAGGCGUUGCAGACACCGGUGGGUGUAUUUCGUAAUGCACCUCCGCAGGCACCAACCGUCGUUACAGCGAUCGUGCCAGACACUCACGAGCGUGCCGCGCGCCGUGAGAAGCCGGCACCAAAGCCACUUCACCAAGCCGAACGCGAGGUGCCAAGUCUUGUGAUGGAAAAGAUGCUCUCUGUAUGGGAUGACACGGGGGUGAAGCGUAUGGGGGAUCAGUUUGUUCACAGUAGCAUGGUAAUGCGCGUGUUUGCCGCUCGCCCGUCUGACGGCGCCGAGCCGUUGUACGGCGUCAUGAAUCCGGAGGGUGAGAACCCGUUCGAGGGUGGCCCGUAUCCCCCCGACGCGGGUGGUCCGCUCACGAAGAACGAGGUCAACUUUUACAGCAUUGGUAUAGGUGACGCGUUUGCGCUGGCGUGUGGUGAGUCUUUCGGUCCAUUGCGUCCUGCUCGGUGCCCGAACCCGUUCCUCCGAAAACUAGCAAAGGACGCUGCAAAAACCGCCCCGAGGGUGGGGUUGGCAGAGCAGCAAACGGCGCCUGUAACGCCGUUUGGACAGCUCCCCAUGUUUGGGCAGACUCCGUCUCCUGCUACGACCCCAGCUCCGAGCGCCGCCGAGGAACCGUCGACCACGAUCAGCGUCGUCUCUUCUCCCUUCGCCGCGGGCGCCAACGACUCGCCUUUUGCUGGGACGACGGAUUUUCCGUUUGCUGGGCAAGGGCUCUCUCCGUUCGGCUCGCUGAAGAAACCAGCAGAUCAGGCCGCUGCCGAGCCCGGGAUUGCCGCGCGAUCGGCGGCCUCGUUUGAGGCUCCGGCCUCACCGUUUGUGGAUGCUGCUAGUGCUCUCACUCCGUCCCCGUUCGCCGCAGCUCCGAGCCCUUUCACCGAAUCUUCGUCGGCAGCAGCCCCGUAUGCUGCGAGGGACGCAGCUGCGGUGGCAGGCGGCGCUGAGGCUCAUGACGCCGUCUUCUUUUCCUCUUUCUCAGCGUCUUCCGCGAGCCGGCCGGCUGAGGUGGGGCCCACCGCGACGCACGUGUGCACCGUUUGCAAGAAGAGCUUUUCGACUUAUGACGGCCUUCGAAUGCAUAGCAAGGCCAAGCAUGGGGAGGAGCUGCCGAAGGAGCUGCGAAAUGGGCGGCGAAACGAGAAGCGCGAGGUUCCGGACUUACCGGCCUUCAUUCCCAGCCCGGUGGACCUCACGGUGACAUCGCCCUUCGGCUCGUCGGCGCAACGGUCGGCGUGGACGGAAGUGGAGCUGAAACCGUACGCGCAGUCUGUGAGUAACAUUACUGUGGCGGGCCGCGUGCUGGAUAGCGAAGUUUCGAGUGACGGGGCGUUGCUUUUGUCGCUUUUUGUCCCCGAUUCGUCCGAGAGCGAGUCGGAGGUGAUUCCUGUUCGCUGCAGCUCAGCUGCCUUUAGAACGCUUGGCAGAACGCUCGUGUAUGGCGAUCUCGUGUUCGCGUGUGGUUCGCUGCGCGUUUUGCCAUUCACGGAUAAGAAAACACAAAAGACAUACUCCUCGGCGGUCGUGCACGUGGGUCUUCCAACUGGCAUGAUUGCGAAACUGAACUGAGUGACUGGUACACGUUCCCGGGUGCCGGCGGCGUGCCCGUUACCCAGCGCUAGCAGAAGAGCCCCGGUGCAAAGCUGCGCUGAAGGAGACGCUCUCGGUGAAACCUCUACAAUGGGAGACUGGAUAGGGGUACAUUCCAAGGUGUGUGUGUGUGUAUGGCGGGUGUGCGGGUAAGCGAAAUCUGUUGUGGCUCUGCCGAAGCGUGCCUUUGGGAUGCCUCUGUUCCCAGCGUCUUUCGGGCUACCCCCGAACUACGGCCAUACCGCUGUGCAUGAUCGGAGGACAAGAACCGUUCUCGAUACCGUGUUUUGUGUGCUAUAUCGCACAGUGUUUUUAUUUUUCGUAAGUGGUUUUGCCUUUGCACGUGACGAAAUAAACUAAUUGUGCGGUGCACUGACACGCCUUUGUGGAGCUAUGGUGCGCUGUGGCUCGUGUACACAGUGCACCAUAGCACACGCCGUGGAAGAGGAGACCGAUGCAAAGUCGAAGACGGGCUUCGGCGGCAACCUUGUUGUCCCCUCGCGUUUCACGCGUUCCCGUUUCUCUCUCCCACAUUUCCUUCUUCUGCGUGUGUGCGUCGACGUCUCUCUCCUAUCCGAAUCACGAAAUAUGGCGCAUACACAUCUUGAACGGCACACACGGACUGGCUCGCCUUUGGAUGCUUGCCCCACCUUGCACAACUGCAG